Molecule: ribosomal RNA, 586 nt
Filed under: uncultured bacterium
Lineage: Bacteria
Description: bacterial SSU rRNA
Rfam family: Bacterial small subunit ribosomal RNA
Source: RNAcentral
CCUACGGGAGGCAGCAGUAGGGAAUAUUGGACAAUGGGCGCAAGCCUGAUCCAGCCAUGCCGCGUGAGUGAAGAAGGCCCUCGGGUUGUAAAGCUCUUUUGUCCGGAAAGAAAAGCGCCGGGUUAAUACCCUGGUGUCCUGACGGUACCGGAAGAAUAAGCACCGGCUAACUUCGUGCCAGCAGCCGCGGUAAUACGAAGGGUGCAAGCGUUACUCGGAAUUACUGGGCGUAAAGCGUGCGUAGGUGGUUCGUUAAGUCCGAUGUGAAAGCCCUGGGCUCAACCUGGGAAUGGCAUUGGAUACUGGCGGGCUAGAGUGCGGUAGAGGGUAGUGGAAUUCCCGGUGUAGCAGUGAAAUGCGUAGAGAUCGGGAGGAACAUCCGUGGCGAAGGCGACUACCUGGACCAGCACUGACACUGAGGCACGAAAGCGUGGGGAGCAAACAGGAUUAGAUACCCUGGUAGUCCACGCCCUAAACGAUGCGAACUGGAUGUUGGGCUCAACUUGGAGCUCAGUAUCGAAGCUAACGCGUUAAGUUCGCCGCUGGGGAGUACGGUCGCAAGACUGAAACUCAAAGGAAUUGACGG